UCCGGUUUGUCACCGGCAGUCUCGCAUGAGUCCCCAACUAAAUGCUGGCAACAUGCGACGGGGGUUGCGCUCGUUGCGGGACUUAACCCAACAUCUCACGACACGAGCUGACGACAGCCAUGCAGCACCUGUGUCCAGGUUCCCUUUCGGGCACCCCUCCAUCUCUGGAGGGUUCCUGGCAUAUCAAGGGUAGGUAAGGUUCUUCGCGUUGCAUCGAAUUAAUCCACAUCAUCCACCGCUUGUGCGGAUCCCCGUCAAUUCCUUUGAGUUUUAACCUUACGGCCGUACUCCCCAGGCGAUCAACUUCACGCGUUAGCUUCGUUACUAAUGGGUUUAACCCCACCAACAACCAGUUGACAUCGUUUAGGGCGUGGACUAC
This 379-nucleotide unclassified non-coding RNA is filed under the name uncultured Gammaproteobacteria bacterium. RNAcentral's name for it is "contains 16S-23S intergenic spacer region". The record is from RNAcentral. Lineage: Bacteria; Pseudomonadati; Pseudomonadota; Gammaproteobacteria.